CAAUCGUGUGUACAUCAUUGGGAAUGGAGGGAAAUAAAUGACUGGAUGGUCGCUGCUUUUUAAGUUUCAAAUUGACAUUCCAGACAAGCGGUGCCUGAGCCCGUGCCUGUCUUCAGAUCUUCACAGCACAGUUCCUGGGAAGGUGGAGCCACCAGCCUCUCCCUGAAUAACUGGGAGAUGAAACAGGAAGCUCUAUGACACACUUGAUCGAAUAUGACAGACACUGAAAAUCACGACUCAUCCCCCUCCAGCACCUCUACCUGUUGCCCGCCGAUCACAGCCGGAAUGCAGCUGAAAGAUUCCCUGGGGCCUGGUUCCAACUGCCCACUGUGGACUCUGAGGCCUCUGCAUUUGCGGGUGGUCUGCCUGUGAUAUUUUGGUCAUGGGCUGGUCUGGUCGGUUUCCCAUUUGUCUGGCCAGUCUCUGUGUGUCUUAAUCCCUUGUCCUUCAUUAAAAG
Molecule: long non-coding RNA, 457 nt
Filed under: Homo sapiens (human)
Lineage: Eukaryota; Metazoa; Chordata; Mammalia; Primates; Hominidae
Description: HSALNT0305072
Source: RNAcentral